GAACACAAAAUGGCGACACGUGGUUAGCAUUCGUCGCCAACGAGAAAUUGGGGUCGGCCCGAAAGCUCUAGAAUGCACCCCCCUUCUUCCCCGGGGCCUUCCACCUCCGCGAGUUUUAUGACUUAAAAAACCCCACAGGCUGGUCUGAAGGUCGGAGGCCUAAUUUUAACGCGUUUUCCUCCCUUUAAUUUGAAACGCGAACGCGAAUGGCUGUAAAAUGUGGGCACAAUAUUUAAUUUCUCGCCUUUUUAAAGCUUAAUAGUGGAUAAUAGGGGGCAGUAUCAAGGGAUAAUUUGGGUCCCCACAGUACCAAAGCAUUUAGAAACCUCUGUUUAAUUUAAGGAAUGAGAUAAAUUACUGCUUUUCUAGACUUCCUAGCAUGGGCUGUUGUGCUGGAGAGAACGAGAGCUACGAAGAGACUACAAUGCCUCUGACUUUUUCAUAGGACAGUUGGCCGAGGAAGACAAACAUAAAGAUGAAGUGCUUAAUUCAAGGUCACACAAUGUCGGGGAUGGACCUCCAGAUUUCCUUACUGGUGAGACGUGGUCUUGUAACACAGUGGUUAAGAAUGUGACUUUGGAGCCAGCCUGCUAGGGGCUGAAUUCUGACUCAGCCAUUUACUAACUGUGUGACCUUAGGUGGAGUCUCACUCUGUAGCCCAAGCUGGAGUGGUGUGAUCUCGACUCACUGCAACCUCCGCCUCCUGGGCUCAAGUGAUUCUCGUGCCUCAGCCUCCUGAGUAGCUGGGACUACA
RNAcentral lists this non-coding RNA (754 nucleotides) under Pan troglodytes (chimpanzee). The record is from RNAcentral. Lineage: Eukaryota; Metazoa; Chordata; Mammalia; Primates; Hominidae.